UACGGGGGGGGCAAGCGUUGUUCGGAAUUACUGAGCGUAAAGGGCUCGUAGGUGGCCAACUAAGUCAGACGUGAAAUCCCUCGGCUUAACCGGGGAACUGCGUCUGAUACUGGAUGGCUUGAGUUCGGGAGAGGGAUGCGGAAUUCCAGGUGUAGCGGUGAAAUGCGUAGAUAUCUGGAGGAACACCGGUGGCGAAGGCGGCAUCCUGGACCGACACUGACACUGAGGAGCGAAAGCCAGGGGAGCAAACAGG
This 253-nucleotide ribosomal RNA is filed under the name uncultured bacterium. Its description in RNAcentral is "partial 16S ribosomal RNA". It matches the Rfam family "Bacterial small subunit ribosomal RNA", at positions 524 to 776 of the family's 1533-position model. The record is from RNAcentral.